This 522-nucleotide ribosomal RNA is filed under the name uncultured bacterium. RNAcentral's name for it is "bacterial SSU rRNA". It matches the Rfam family "Bacterial small subunit ribosomal RNA", at positions 988 to 1509 of the family's 1533-position model. The record is from RNAcentral.
CCACGGAAUUUAGCAGAGAUGCUUUAGUGCCUUCGGGAACCGUGAGACAGGUGCUGCAUGGCUGUCGUCAGCUCGUGUUGUGAAAUGUUGGGUUAAGUCCCGCAACGAGCGCAACCCUUAUCCUUUGUUGCCAGCGGGUUAUGCCGGGAACUCAAAGGAGACUGCCAGUGAUAAACUGGAGGAAGGUGGGGAUGACGUCAAGUCAUCAUGGCCCUUACGAGUAGGGCUACACACGUGCUACAAUGGCGCAUACAAAGAGAAGCGACCUCGCGAGAGCAAGCGGACCUCAUAAAGUGCGUCGUAGUCCGGAUUGGAGUCUGCAACUCGACUCCAUGAAGUCGGAAUCGCUAGUAAUCGUAGAUCAGAAUGCUACGGUGAAUACGUUCCCGGGCCUUGUACACACCGCCCGUCACACCAUGGGAGUGGGUUGCAAAAGAAGUAGGUAGCUUAACCUUCGGGAGGGCGCUUACCACUUUGUGAUUCAUGACUGGGGUGAAGUCGUAACAAGGUAGGCGUAGUGCU